AGAGUUUGAUCAUGGCUCAGGAUGAACGCUAGCGGCAGGCUUAAUACAUGCAAGUCGAACGGUAACAGGUUUAAAUUUCGGUUUGAACGCUGACGAGUGGCGCACGGGUGAGUAACGCGUACACAAUCUGCCUUAAGCGGGGAAUACCCUAUGGAAACGUAGAUUAAUACCCCAUAGCAUCACGAGAACGCAUGUUUUUGUGAUUAAAGCUCCGGUGCUUGAAGAUGAGUGUGCGUCCUAUUAGCUAGAUGGUAAGGUAACGGCUUACCAUGGCAACGAUAGGUAGGGGGCGUGAGAGCGUGAUCCCCCACACGGGUACUGAGACACGGACCCGACUCCUACGGGAGGCAGCAGUAAGGAAUAUUGGACAAUGGGCGAAAGCCUGAUCCAGCCAUGCCGCGUGCAGGAAGAAUGCCCUAUGGGUUGUAAACUGCUUUUAUAUGGGAAGAAUUGCUUCGACGUGUCGGAGUUUGACGGUACCAUAUGAAUAAGCACCGGCUAACUCCGUGCCAGCAGCCGCGGUAAUACGGAGGGUGCAAGCGUUAUCCGGAAUUACUGGGUUUAAAGGGUGCGUAGGCGGCAACGUAAGUCAGAAGUGAAAGCUCUCGGCUCAACUGAGGAAUUGCUUUUGAUACUGCGUAGCUUGAAUAAGGUUGAGGUCAGCGGAAUGUGGCAUGUAGCGGUGAAAUGCAUAGAUAUGCCAUAGAACACCAAUUGCGAAGGC
This 724-nucleotide ribosomal RNA is filed under the name uncultured bacterium. RNAcentral's name for it is "bacterial SSU rRNA". It matches the Rfam family "Bacterial small subunit ribosomal RNA", at positions 8 to 722 of the family's 1533-position model. The record is from RNAcentral.